Molecule: ribosomal RNA, 967 nt
Filed under: uncultured bacterium
Lineage: Bacteria
Description: bacterial SSU rRNA
Rfam family: Bacterial small subunit ribosomal RNA
Source: RNAcentral
GGGAACCGUUUCCGGAUUAUUGGGCGUAAGAGCUCGUAGGCGGUUUGUCGCGUCUGCCGUGAAAGUCCGGGGCUCAACUCCGGAUCUGCGGUGGGUACGGGCAGACUAGAGUGAUGUAGGGGAGACUGGAAUUCCUGGUGUAGCGGUGAAAUGCGCAGAUAUCAGGAGGAACACCGAUGGCGAAGGCAGGUCUCUGGGCAUUAACUGACGCUGAGGAGCGAAAGCAUGGGGAGCGAACAGGAUUAGAUACCCUGGUAGUCCAUGCCGUAAACGUUGGGCACUAGGUGUGGGGGACAUUCCACGUUUUCCGCGCCGUAGCUAACGCAUUAAGUGCCCCGCCUGGGGAGUACGGCCGCAAGGCUAAAACUCAAAGGAAUUGACGGGGGCCCGCACAAGCGGCGGAGCAUGCGGAUUAAUUCGAUGCAACGCGAAGAACCUUACCAAGGCUUGACAUGGGCCGGACCGGGCUGGAAACAGUCCUUCCCCUUUGGGGCCGGUUCACAGGUGGUGCAUGGUUGUCGUCAGCUCGUGUCGUGAGAUGUUGGGUUAAGUCCCGCAACGAGCGCAACCCUCGUUCCAUGUUGCCAGCGCGUAAUGGCGGGGACUCAUGGGAGACUGCCGGGGUCAACUCGGAGGAAGGUGGGGACGACGUCAAAUCAUCAUGCCCCUUAUGUCUUGGGCUUCACGCAUGCUACAAUGGCCGGUACAAAGGGUUGCGAUACUGUGAGGUGGAGCUAAUCCCAAAAAGCCGGUCUCAGUUCGGAUUGGGGUCUGCAACUCGACCCCAUGAAGUCGGAGUCGCUAGUAAUCGCAGUCAGCAUACUGCAGUGAAUCCGUUCCCGGGCCUUGUACACACCGCCCGUCACACCAUGGAAAGCUGGCCACGCCCGAAGUCGUUACCCUAACCUGAAAGGGAGGGGACGCCGAAGCAGGGCUGGUGACUGGGUGAAGUCGUAACAAGGUAACC